GGAGGGGUGGCCGAGUGGUCGAAGGCGCGCGCUUGGAGAGCGCGUGUACGCUUGCGUACCGUGGGUUCGAAUCCCACCCCCUCCGCCA
Molecule: transfer RNA, 88 nt
Filed under: Alphaproteobacteria bacterium
Lineage: Bacteria; Pseudomonadati; Pseudomonadota; Alphaproteobacteria
Description: tRNA-Ser
Rfam family: tRNA
About the family: Transfer RNA (tRNA) molecules are approximately 80 nucleotides in length. Their secondary structure includes four short double-helical elements and three loops (D, anti-codon, and T loops). Further hydrogen bonds mediate the characteristic L-shaped molecular structure. tRNAs have two regions of fundamental functional importance: the anti-codon, which is responsible for specific mRNA codon recognition, and the 3' end, to which the tRNAs corresponding amino acid is attached (by aminoacyl-tRNA synthetases). tRNAs cope with the degeneracy of the genetic code in two manners: having more than one tRNA (with a specific anti-codon) for a particular amino acid; and 'wobble' base-pairing, i.e. permitting non-standard base-pairing at the 3rd anti-codon position.
Source: RNAcentral